This 431-nucleotide ribosomal RNA is filed under the name uncultured bacterium. RNAcentral's name for it is "partial 16S ribosomal RNA". It matches the Rfam family "Bacterial small subunit ribosomal RNA", at positions 29 to 505 of the family's 1533-position model. The record is from RNAcentral.
AACGAACGCUGGCGGCAUGCCUAACACAUGCAAGUCGAACGAGACCUUCGGGUCUAGUGGCGCACGGGUGCGUAACGCGUGGGAACCUGCCCUUAGGUUCGGAAUAACUCCCCGAAAGGGGUGCUAAUACCGGAUAAUGUCUUCGGACCAAAGAUUUAUCGCCUUUGGAUGGGCCCGCGUUGGAUUAGCUAGUUGGUAGGGUAAAAGCCUACCAAGGCGACGAUCCAUAGCUGGUCUGAGAGGAUGAUCAGCCACACUGGGACUGAGACACGGCCCAGACUCCUACGGGAGGCAGCAGUGGGGAAUAUUGGACAAUGGGCGAAAGCCUGAUCCAGCAAUGCCGCGUGAGUGAUGAAGGCCUUAGGGCUGUAAAGCUCUUUUACCCGGGAUGAUAAUGACAGUACCGGGAGAAUAAGCUCCGGCUAACUCCG